Pseudopipra pipra is the source of this 673-nucleotide long non-coding RNA. RefSeq lists it as uncharacterized. The transcript has 2 exons. NCBI's taxonomy places the organism in Eukaryota, Metazoa, Chordata, Aves, Passeriformes, Pipridae. The record is from RefSeq and is a predicted model, not a curated record.
UACUCUGCCUUGUUAUAGGGAAAGGAGACAGGGUUUAGCAUUAGAUGGGUGUAACCAAUUAUGUAUUCUAUCCCAUUUCACCAUUUUUGAUGGACUAUCUCUUUAAGCACAGGAGGUAGAACUGUUUCUGUUGGCAGUUUCUACUUCGGCUGUUACUGCAGCCACCACUCCUGCCAACCCAGAGGGGAAAGAUCCUACCAAGAGAGAAGGGCCCACCCUGCCACAAGCUGCUUCAGGUGUUUUUCUUUCUCUAAGCAGUUUUUGCCACGGCCACAGACUGGCACCAUUACUUUUUGCACUGCCUGUUGCUUUUGGCUCACCCCACAGACCGAGCGAGCGCCUGCAGUCUGCUACUGCUGGCUGGUCUCUCACCACACACAGAAAGGGAGUCCCGAGAGAAGCUAUGAACUGUCAUCAUCUUGUAAAAGCAAGGAAUUUAUGAACUGUAUUCAAAUAUUGGCAACACAUACUGGCUCAAAGUCAUGAAAUUUGGAGAGCACAAGUAAAGCAUAUUCAAAAGGAACAGACCCUAAUAUCAGAUGCUGUAAAAGUGCAGAAUGAGACAAAUACAAAGGGAUGUAAAAUAUCUCAGACACAUUAAAGAAGAAACAAUUGAUCAACCGGAUAGGAAAACUGCAAAAUCAACACAAUAAAUGCAGUAACUUUAAAAUAA